Molecule: ribosomal RNA, 460 nt
Filed under: uncultured bacterium
Lineage: Bacteria
Description: partial 16S ribosomal RNA
Rfam family: Bacterial small subunit ribosomal RNA
Source: RNAcentral
CCUACGGGUGGCAGCAGUGAGGAAUCUUGGUCAAUGGUCGGGAGACUGAACCAGCCAAGCCGCGUGAGGGAUGAAGGUACAGAGUAUCGUAAACCUCUUUUGUCAGGGAACAAAGGCGGGGACGUAUCCCCGCAUGAGUGUACCUGAAGAAACAGCAUCGGCUAACUCCGUGCCAGCAGCCGCGGUAAUACGGAGGAUGCGAGCGUUGUCCGGAUUUAUUGGGCGUAAAGAGUGCGUAGGCGGGGUAAUAAGUCAGAUGUGAAAUCCUGGGGCUUAACUACAGAACUGCAUUUGAAACUGGUAGUCUGGAGUGUGUGAGAGGUAGGUGGAAUUCGUGGUGUAGCGGUGAAAUGCGUAGAGAUCUAGAGGAAUACUCAUGGCGAAGGCGACCUGCUGGAACAUUACUGACGCUGAUGCACGAAAGCGUGGGGAGCAAACAGGAUUAGAUACCCGUGUAGUC